Molecule: ribosomal RNA, 253 nt
Filed under: uncultured bacterium
Lineage: Bacteria
Description: partial 16S ribosomal RNA
Rfam family: Bacterial small subunit ribosomal RNA
Source: RNAcentral
UACGUAGGUGGCAAGCGUUGUCCGGAUUUACUGGGUGUAAAGGGCGCGUAGGCGGGACUGCAAGUCAGAUGUGAAAUGCAGAGGCUCAACCUCUGAGCUGCAUUUGAAACUGUAGUUCUUGAGUAUCGGAGAGGCAGGCGGAAUUCCUAGUGUAGCGGUGAAAUGCGUAGAUAUUAGGAGGAACACCAGUGGCGAAGGCGGCCUGCUGGACGACAACUGACGCUGAGGCGCGAAAGCGUGGGGAGCAAACAGG